RNAcentral lists this ribosomal RNA (561 nucleotides) under Botryotrichum piluliferum. RNAcentral's name for it is "eukaryotic LSU rRNA". It matches the Rfam family "Eukaryotic large subunit ribosomal RNA", at positions 38 to 625 of the family's 3401-position model. Lineage: Eukaryota; Fungi; Ascomycota; Sordariomycetes; Sordariales; Chaetomiaceae. The record is from RNAcentral.
GCAUAUCAAUAAGCGGAGGAAAAGAAACCAACAGGGAUUGCCUCAGUAACGGCGAGUGAAGCGGCAACAGCUCAAAUUUGAAAUCUGGCUUCGGCCCGAGUUGUAAUUUGCAGAGGAAGCUUUAGGCGCGGCACCAUCUGAGUCCCCUGGAACGGGGCGCCACAGAGGGUGAGAGCCCCGUAUAGAUGGACGCCUAGCCUGUGUAAAGCUCCUUCGACGAGUCGAGUAGUUUGGGAAUGCUGCUCAAAAUGGGAGGUAAAUUUCUUCUAAAGCUAAAUACCGGCCAGAGACCGAUAGCGCACAAGUAGAGUGAUCGAAAGAUGAAAAGCACUUUGAAAAGAGGGUUAAAUAGCACGUGAAAUUGUUGAAAGGGAAGCGCUUGUGACCAGACUUGCGCCGGGCGGAUCAUCCGGUGUUCUCACCGGUGCACUCCGCCCGGCUCAGGCCAGCAUCGGUUCUCGUGGGGGGAUAAAGGCACCGGGAACGUAGCUCCUCCGGGAGUGUUAUAGCCCGGGGCGUAAUGCCCUCGCGGGGACCGAGGACCGCGCAUCUGCAAGGAUG